Molecule: ribosomal RNA, 759 nt
Filed under: uncultured bacterium
Lineage: Bacteria
Description: bacterial SSU rRNA
Rfam family: Bacterial small subunit ribosomal RNA
Source: RNAcentral
UCGGACGGGGACAAGAUUAACAGGAUUAGAUACCCUGGUAGUCCACGCCCUAAACGAUGGAUACUAGGCGUAAGAGGUAUCGACCCCUCUUGUGCCGCAGCUAACGCAUUAAGUAUCCCGCCUGGGGAGUACGGCCGCAAGGUUGAAACUCAAAUGAAUUGACGGGGACCCGCACAAGCGGUGGAGCAUGUGGAUUAAUUCGAUACUAACCGAAGAACCUUACCCAGACUUGACAUCGAUGGUAAGCCGUAGAAAUAUGGCCCUCUCCCAAAAGGAGACCUGAAGACACUUGUUGCAUGGCUGUCGUCAGCUCGUGCCGUGAGGUGUACGGUUAAGUCCGCCAACGAGCGCAACCCUCGUCCUGUGUUACCAGCAAGUAAAGUUGGGGACUCACAGGAGACCGCCGGUGUAAACCGGAGGAAGGUGAGGAUGACGUCAAGUCAGCAUGGCAGUUACGUCUGGGGCUUCACACAUGCUACAAUGGGCGCAACAAAGGGCAGCGAUACCGCGAGGUGGAGCCAAUCCCAAAAAUACGCCCCCAGUUCAGAUUGCAGUCUGCAACUCGACUGCAUGAAGGCGGAAUCGCUAGUAAACGCAGGUCAGCUAUACUGCGUUGAAUACGUUCCCGGGUCUUGUACACACCGCCCGUCAAGUCACCUGAAUUGUCUUCACCCGAAGUCCGUGGCCUAACCGCAAGGAAGGAGCGGCCGAAGGUGAGGGGAGUAAGGGGGACUAAGUCGUAACAAGGUAACCAAUCUU